Molecule: long non-coding RNA, 3893 nt
Organism: Polypterus senegalus (gray bichir)
Lineage: Eukaryota; Metazoa; Chordata; Cladistia; Polypteriformes; Polypteridae
Exons: 3
Source: RefSeq, a predicted model, not a curated record
CGGUUGUUUUGGAGAGCUGUAGGGCCCGUGCUGGCACGCAAGCUACGAAGCCAGGAACGAGGACAGUAGUGGAUGAGGGCGGCAUCUGGGGAUGAGUCACGAAGUCUGCCCCUCCCCGCCAGCUCCGACCGUGAGACGCGUCGCGGCACGUGACUCACCUGAAGGCUUGGGCAUCUGCUCCUUCUGCUCGUUCAUUUGCUUGAUUGCUACCGCAACAUCUGAGAAGAGGACUGGACCCAAAGACAGGCUGAGGCUGGUGGUUCGGACCCCAAAGACAGGCUGAGGCUGGUGGUUCGGACCCCAAAGACAGGCUGGAUCCCGUUGACUGGAGCCAAACACAGGCCUGGGUCUUCAGUCCAGACUGUAUCAGUUUCAGGUACCUAGCUGCCCGCCCGGCGCUCGAGUCAUGGCAUUUUGUCUCGGUGUUUCAUUCUUCUUCGACAGACAUGCUUGGACACAGAAAUGAUAAAGGCAGACAAGGGCUUAAGUCCAGGGGUGCGACUGCAAGGCCCAAAUCCACUCACAGCUGUCCUGUCCCAGUGGCUGUGCGAGCUGGUGGGUCUGGCUCUUGUCUGCGUUAGCUGGGGUGCUCACCAUUACCGGGGUCCCCCGCCCGGGCAGGUGGUCUUCAGCCCUCUCCUUCAAAGGACUCCAUGUUGAAGUGGCCUGCACAGAUUGUGCAGAAUGAUUUUGCACAAUUCAUGUGCCCUUUCGGGUACUGUUGGAAAGGAAGUUGAGAAGUCUGACUUGCAAUACAUACGUCGGUGAGAACACAGGAACUAACCUAACCAUUUCAGGACCAUCGCUUGAAUGUUGAAACAACUGUUCAGGUAGUUGAACUUUCCAGUGUGUUGGCUUUCCAACUGCCAGACAAGAAGAUCACUUAGCUGAGUGGAGUGGACGUGGCUGUCCAGGUCUGGUCAUCUUCAGCAGCAGACUUUUAUAACGGAGGAUUUCUGGCUUUUAGUGGCAUGAGUUGUUACCGACUUCCUGCACUGAGAACUGCGCACCUCAGCAGCUCCACCUGCCACUUCAGAUGCCAACUCGAGUUCCACACUUGUCGUCUUUAUCCGGUGAAGACAAACAGCACACACAGAGAAAUCACACAGAGGACUUGUAAUGGAGCCCUGAAGUGGAUGGCAUGUGAAUUAUUUCAAUAACAGAUCGUCUUGGACUGUGCUCUCCAUCGGAAGGGUGUUGCUAUCUCCUCAGGUCUCUCGACCAGCGCAGGUUGUCCUUCCUCACUCCAGACCUGUUGUGUUCUCUGAAUGAGGUAUUGCUGUAUAAGUAAGCCAUGCAGUAGCUCCGCCUCUCAAAAGAUCUUUCCAGAAAGCUGGAUAAGGUUCUCAUUUGCUCACAUUUGUAUGAGGUAAGUGUCCUCAUGGGGUUUGUGGCACAAAGCUUUGUGUGUUUGUUUCACCGGUUGCUACAGUGAAUGUGUUUUGAUUCAACGACUAUGAUGACCUGGAUUAUUAUCAUCUCACUUUCCCUCCCGCUAUUCCCCCAUACGUUAUGUUUCACACCAUAGUAACCCGUGCCUCCUCUCCCGGACUCUCACAGUCUAAGAGGCUCAGGUCCUCCAGGCUGUAAUGCGCUUCUCAAGUGUCUGCUGCCCUAUUGUGGGUACACAGAGAGAGAACGUGUCACCUCUCGGAUCUAGAUGAAUGGGUUUUGUUUUAUUUUUCUUUGACCGGCGCCUGUUUACUUAUUUGAGAAUCUCUCCAGUUUGACCAGUCCAGUUUCUUAACUGAAAUCCUUAUCUGUUAGGACUGUGCUGAGACUCGAGCGGAGUCUUACUGAGUUAGUUAAGGGGACGAGCCAUCAUGUCCGGUGUCUCGCAGUCAGUGUCCAUUUCAAUGAGCUCAAGUGCUGGAGAACAAAGGCCUUUGGAAGGACCAGCCAUUACAUUUCUUUACGCUCGCAGAUUAUUUUCGUGUUUUGUUUCUGCUCACAGCCCGGGUGUCUCUCUGGGCUGCACUAGGGUGGCAGCAUUGGCACAGCUGCUGUUAUACUGCCAGUGUCUACCCUGACAACCAACGAGUUUCAAACCAGAGAAUCAGCCCUUGAGGAUACACGUGGAUCUCCAGAGCCUACUGAAGCUUCAAUAUUUGCCUGUUUAUUGAUAUUCAAGAAAGGACAAAUGGAGGACAGGAAACUAAAACAGUAACAACCAGCAAAGUUUAAUCAAUUUUUAUUUCACUCAACUAGGCACUAAAUUUACGCCAGAGGAGGAUGUCUGCAAGAUAAAGCACCGCCACCACACACCUGGGCUCCUUAUCAGGGUAAUAAACAGCAGACAGAGCCAGCGGUGUGACAGUAGUAAUGACAUCCAUGAGCUGAAGUGCCCGUGCAAUGCUGGCAUUAGUCAUUUGAAGUGACAGAUUAUUUUUCAAGGUGCCAUGGAUAUGUUCCAUCACUUUAGAAGCAAGUCGGACAAGACACUUGGCAAUGACGUGUGAUUCGUCAAAGACCAAGCUGAACAUGACGGUGUAAGUAGCACAAACAAUCAUUAAGAGGAGCCUUAGAAGGAAAGCUGAUUGCUGUCCCUUGGGCUUGUGAUCCAACUCAGUGCCCAUUUCUAUGAGCACAUGUGCUGGGGAACGAACUCCCUUGGAGGACUCAUCAGCCACAGCCAUCGUCAUUGUUCAGUCACGCAGUUUGUUUUCGUAUUUUGUUUCCUUCAACAGUCCUGUGUCUCGUUGGAGAGAAGUAAAGAGAGAGCAGCGGCACAGCUACAUUUAUACUUUAGGUGUCAGCCUGGAAGGGGGAAGAAAGCAGCCCCGUCGAGGUUAUCCCUAGAGAGUUUGUCAUUGCGGUGAUUCGGAGAGCGUGGCGCCGAAGGUGGCCAGAGCCCGACGGGGUUAUUUCUUGUGAGUUUGUCAUCGCUGUGGUUCGGAGAGCGUGGAGUUGAAGGUGGCCAUGGACCGACGGGGUUAUUUCUGGAGAGUUUGUCAUCGCGGUGGUUGGAAGAGCGUGGAGUCAAAGGUGGCUGGGGCCAAUGGGUGACCCUGGGAAGUGUGUGAUCGCACCCGUCAGGGACGUUGGACAGGAGGGCAGCUAAACGGAUGGAGGCUGAUCAAAGGGGAGUUCGUUAUUAGUUGUGGUGGCAUAAAUUUACUUUGGUGACUGAUCACGACCCCCCUGCAGACAAUAUGAUACACACUCCCGUCACACAAGCUGGUUUGUUAGCUUGCAGAUGUUUCAUUUAAUUGUCUGUCAUCAUCCCGGUUCUGCGCUCGUCAAUGUCGAUGUCCUGUCUCGGUUAGCCAUGCCCGGUUUAGUAGUUCACGAAGUUGUGAACAGAGCUGAGGGUGGGAGUGUGACCGCUACAGCUUGGGAACGCAGCCAAACUUCAGAAAUUCUCUCCUGGAAAUAAACUCACUCUUGCACACUGUACUCCCUCCUCUACACAGCAUCAGCUGCAGGUUUGCUAGCGCAGCGCUUCGAACAUUUAAAGGACCGAGCUGCGACCGUGCUUGGCUUCAACGACUAUGAUGACCUGCAUUAUUAUCAUCUCACUUUCCCUCCCGCUAUUCCCCCAUACGUUAUGUUUCACACCAUAGUAACCCGUGCCUCCUCUCCCGGACUCUCACAGUCUAAGAGGCUCAGGUCCUCCAGGCUGUAAUGCGCUUCUCAAGUGUCUGCUGCCCUAUUGUGGGUACACAGAGAGAGAACGUGUCACCUCUCGGAUCUGGAUGGACGGGUUUUGUUUUAUUUUUCUUUGACCGGCGCCUGUUUACUUAUUUGAGAAUCUCUCCAGUUUGACCAGUCCAGUUUCUUAACUGAAAUCCUUAUCUCUUAGGACUGUGGUGAGACUCGAGCAGAUUUUUUUUAAACGAUCUUAUUAGUGAUAGAAAGAUUGAUUUUAUUGCGCUAAAUGAAACAUGGCUUAA